Molecule: vault RNA, 100 nt
Organism: Electrophorus electricus (electric eel)
Lineage: Eukaryota; Metazoa; Chordata; Actinopteri; Gymnotiformes; Gymnotidae
Gene: Vault
Rfam family: Vault RNA
About the family: This family of RNAs are found as part of the enigmatic vault ribonucleoprotein complex. The complex consists of a major vault protein (MVP), two minor vault proteins (VPARP and TEP1), and several small untranslated RNA molecules. It has been suggested that the vault complex is involved in drug resistance.
Source: Ensembl
GGACUAGUUUAGCCAAGUGGUUACUUCGGAAAUUGCCAACUCUCUAUCCUACGACCCGCGGAGUCUGGGGUUCGAGCCACUGGUGAUGUCUAGGUUUUUU